CACAUCCUUCUGACUCCUGCCCUGGUCCUGCCUUGACCCCACACUGCCUGUCACAUCCUCAGGCCAUCCCCAGCCCUGUCCUUCUGCCUGUCUUGUUGGGAGGAUUCCUGAGUCUUCACUCCCCCAUCACUACCCACACAUCUGGCUCUUGUCCUUUCUGCAUUUGAAUCCAGGAAUUUUUCUCUUCCACAUUGUCUCACUCCAAUGAACAUCACCAGAAGUGCAAGAGACAGACUCCUGGCUCUCCAUCUUCAGGUGCUUGGCCUUGCCAUGGGCUGUGAAAGUCUGCUGCUGAAACUGCAAAGGAAGUCCUGCUUGAACUGUGGUUGGAACUUCCUCAGCAAGGAUGAAAACUUCAAGAAUUCAAUUGCUAAAAUGAAAGGAAUCUCAGAGUUAUCCCCUGAGCAUGUUCAAAUUCAGCUUCCUAAAGGCAUAUAACAUAGCCAGAUUUGGGCAGGUUUUCAGGAGGGCCAAGGGGAUAUCUCUGAUGAAAGGAAACUCUCUCCAAGGAAGAGAGACGCCAGAGCUUUUCAAAGCAAAGGUCACAAUUGCUUUUUAACUUGGACAAAACAUUGAAUUUUUCCUUACCCUCACUAUUUGAAAUGGCUAAGUUUGUGGAUAUUUUCCAAAAACUUCAGCCUGAGGCAGAUACCUGGCAUGGAAAAUUUAAUUCCAAAUGCUUAUAGUUUGGCAACAUUGUAAGUGCCUGAAAAUAGGCUCUUACAGUCCAAAGGAUCAAGCUUUCACUACAAUGUGAACAGCUGAGCCACUGGCCCUACCUGCAGUCACAGCUCAACAUUUUGCCUCAUCACCUGCACAGAAAACAGAGCAGGGGUGCAGCUGGGGGGUGGAUUUCCAUCCUGUCCAGAAGGAAAUUGCUGCGAUUGAUACUAAAGAAAUUGGUUAGGAUGAGCAUUUGGUAAUACACAGGAAUUUCCAGCACAGAGGAGCUUUGGACAGUAGGGGUUAUAGACCCCCGUUCUGAGUUCUACUUGUCUACAUUCAUUCAUAUGUGCCACAUAAAUGAGGUUUUCAGUUUUCUGACAAAUGUACUAUAAACAGCCUAUUCACAUUUUCCUGAUUUCCAGCUUGCUCAGCUUGGUCUGUCCUUAACUCAGCCAUCCAUUUCCUUAUUUUCUCACAUUGCCACUUCUGCCUUGUCAUGCUCUACAGUAAUGAAUGUACAGACACAGACAACAUCCAAGCAAAAUUAAAGCAGCUGGCUGCUGAUGUUGCACAGCGUGGGAUUUUUCAGGAAGAAGCCAUCAGCCCCUUCCCAGCAGAUUCUUUCCUGAGUGUCAAGCACAGGCUUUUUGGCUGCAUUUCUCACACCAUGGCAGAUGCAUGGACCAUAUUCUGCAGGUAUAGACCAGUUCCUGGAAUAGGCAGAGGGGCAAUGAGUGGCUAAUGAGCACCAGCUGAGUUGCAGGUAUUUCACAUCUGCCCUAUAUGACUCAGUAUCUUCCCCCAUGGCCACAUUGCUAGCAGCUCGGAAUACCUCAGGACAAAUGAGUCAUGGCAGAAAUGUGGCCAUCCUCUGAUGCUUCUGUGAGACUUGAGAUCAAUUCAUGUCAGUUUUUCACCAUGUAGGUGCAGUGUCAUCCCUGGGCAGUGCUGCACUGGCUCCUCUUGUAAAGAUGUGAACCCAGCACAGGGAUGUUGUGGCAGGGCACAUGGCCUGUGUAACACCAGCUCUGUUUGCACAGGUGUUGGAUGGCUUCAGAGCCUGGAUCCAUUGAUCAUGGGAGUGUCCAGGAGGUCUCCUGUGCCUCACAGAGUUUGCUGAGAGGUGAACUCUUUCACAAUGAAAUCCUCUUUAGAACUGCUGACACUUUCAUGAGUAACAGUAUUCAUCUGCAUGAAAAGGUUUUCUUGUUGUACAAGUUUUUUGUUUUUUUUUUUUUUUCCCUGAAUAGUGGUAGAGAAAUAUAAAAAUCUGAAUAGACAAUAUCUUUUUUAUUGUCAGCUUAUUGGGACAUCAGAGAGGCGCUGAUGAUAGUUUGCAGGUGAAGGAGAGGGGGAAUGUUUGUUUCUUUGUAGAAAGAGGUUUAGAGGCAAUCACAGCAGCAUCUGACUAAAAUCGGAACUGAUUGAAAUCAGAAGAAAGGCGAAAACCAGGAUGAAUAAAACACGAACAGGCUGAAAGUGCAGUAAAACACAACUUUCGCAGAAACAUCGGCCUUUUGCCUUAUGCCUCGAGUGAAAACAAAGUUGUUUUCCAGCGGAAGGGAUAACAGCAGAUGCUGUUUUGGGAAGGCUGGAGCAGGCUGGUGGGACCAGGAGCAUCCCCGGCAGCUAGAGGGCACCGCCGGCCGCGGUAUAAGAGCUGAGAACACCGCAGGGGACUGGAAAACCAGCAAGGUAAAUUUUGCUCAUACCUGAGGUACCUGAAAGCUCACCGACAGGUCUGCGUUUUCAGGCCUUGCUGAGUAAUCUAUCUCAGUGGUCUCUGAACCACACAUGUUUUUCUGGAAGAGUUAAAACGUUUAAAAAGAGACAGCACCAUUGGGGAAAAUGUUUCAGUUUUACUUUUGUUUCCCCUGUGCUGCUGUAUAUAAGGCCAAAAAAUUGUUUUUGUCAGUUGGCUGGAGGAGGUUAAGUGUUGCUACGUAAGCAGAGUAACAGCACCAGGUGACCCUUUUGGCCAUUAAAUUCCUGCCUUGGCCCACUGAGGUGGGUACAGUCACAUUCCUCGGAACUGCAUGCAGCUUGUUGUUGGUGAACAUUUUAAUACUGAUUUCCACCCAGGCACCCUUUUAAUCCCUAUGAGCUACAGACCUGGGAGCUGGGACCUUUCCCAGGUCAUGUCCUGACCCUGUCCAUGGCAUGACAGUUUAUCAAACUACUUCCAUAACAGUAAAUUCUGCUGGAAUGAGCAGAAAAGAUAGGAUUUCUGUUACAUGUUGCAUUUGCAAUAAUCGUAAAAAGUUUGCUGUGCUUUUACAUUCCCUACAAAUCUCUUCAGCAAUUUCUUCUGGUUACUUUCCCUCUGGUUCUCCCCCAUCCCCUGCAUGCAUUUUUGGUAGUAAGUUAAGCAGGAUGAUAUCAAAGGAAUGGCUUCAUCCUUGUCUUCAUCCAUCCCCUGACUUGUUUCAGGAUGCUGUGUGUGUCAGGGAGGCCCCGUGGGAUGUUGGUCAGGGUCAGUAAGGUUUACUGGUGCUCUCAGAGCCUUGACAGCAGUUUAAAGUGUCAGCUGCUGCCCACAGAUCUUAGCUGCAGCAAAAUACCCACAAUUGACAAAUGGGAACAAAAAAUACCACAAAAAACCAAACCCCCCUAAAAUCCCCCAAACAAACCAUAAACCACCAAACCAUCCCACAAACCCCCAGAACAACUUUGCUUUUGGGACUUAAUCUGUUCAACUCUAACUUGACAAAUUCCAGCCACAGCACGAGUUGCAGAGCCAACUGAUGUGUCACCCACCCUUGACUCUUAGAGAAAGGGGCAAAAAGUUAAUAAUGGGCUGAAUGAAGCCAAAAUUAGACCCCAAUGAUCUCUGAGUCACUGUAUAUUAAGUGUUGUAAAAAAAUGGUAACAUUCUCCCUCUCCCACAACUCCACGACCUAGAAAAAACCCCUGUGGUACAAGCUACCUCUGUGGGAGGGGUCCUGCUCUGCCAGUUGUCAGCCAAUGAUCCAAAAUGCAAACCCACCCCUCCAAGACAGGUCCAAGUGGAAUAAAAUACAACUGAACUUCAACAGAGGAAGAAUCUGGAUGAAAUCUAGUCCAAUACCACACAAAUAAUGAUUUCUUACUGUAUUGGGCUUGCAGGGACAGAUUUUGCUAACAGAGGGGCUAGAGGGGUGGCUUCUGUGAGAGGCGGCCAGAAGCUUCCCCUGAGCCAAUGCCAGAUGGAUCCAAGAUGGACCUGCUCUGGCCAAGGCUGAGCCAGCCAGUGACAUUGACAACACCUCUGGGAUAUUAGAUUUAAGAAGGGGGAAGAAACCUGAACACAGAGAGGAACAGCUCUGCAGACACAGGGUCAGCGAAGGAGGAGGGGCAGCAGCUGCUCCAGGAGCCAGAGCAGAGAUUCCCCUGCAGCCCUUGGUGAGGCAGCUCUGCCCCUGCAGCACAGGGAGGGGCAGGGGGAGCAGAGAUCCACCUGCAGCCCCUGGAGGAACCACACCAGAGCAGGUGGAUGUGCCUAAGGGGGCUGUGACCGCAUGGGAAGCCCUCCUGGCAGGACCUGUGGCCUGUGGAGAGGAGCCUGUGCUGGAGCAGGUUUGCUGAUAGAGGACUUGUGACCCUGCGGGGGGCCACACUGAAGCACCCCGUUCAGGAAGGACUGUACCCUGUAGAGGGGACCCAAACUGGAGCAGUUUGUGGAGAGCUGCAGUGUGUGGGAGGAAGUCACAUUGUAACUCAGAUUUGUGGAGGACUGUCUUCUUUGGGAGAUCCUUGUAUGUGCCCCCAACCCCCCCCGAACAAGCCCAAAUUCAUCAGUUGCAGGCUGCAGAAGCACAACGGGGGGCAAUGCAUCUGGAGGAGCACAGCUCUGCUCAGGAGACCCAGAGAAGAAGCUUUACAACUGUGACAUUCUUUGCCAAGACUCUCUUGCUUUUCCCUGAGGCUCCCAGGCAAAAUUAAUGAUGAGUUGUGAGCCAGAAAACAACGUCAUUAUAAAAGAAAAAAACAUACCAAGCAGUUCAUCUCAAAUGGAGAUGGUAAAAUAUCUCUGCAGCAGGAUUUUUUACUCCUUAUGUUUUACUUGCUGUCGCUACCUCACAUUUGGAGGGAGCUGUGUAAGCCAUGAUGUGAAAUCCAAAGAGCAGGUAUGUUUGUUGCUCCAACUUUCACUGUACAUGUGACCAGUUCCCCUCACCAACAUGCUCUGUCUUUCACCCUGACUCUUCCCUCUCAACGCAACUCAUUUCCCUUCUGUCUCAGAAACAUUUCCCUCAGUGUCUCUAGUUCAUCACAGCUCAUUUUUCUCCUGUCCUCCAACUCAACCAUUCUUCAUGGAAGGACAAGAAACUCUCCUGCACAGCCUAAAAAACAUCCUCUAAUCUAAGCUAAAAUCCUUUUUUGAUCCUGGCUGUAUACAAACUGAAACCCUUGGCUCAGCAGGCCAUCCUGCAGGGCUCCUGUAUCCCUGGCCGUGGCUGCAGCCCAAGUAGUGCUCACAUGUCCCCAGCCAGGACUGACCCCACAACCUUUUGUCCUGCCAGCUCCAUGUGGUGGCACCUGCCAUGCAGUGACGUCCUUAGCAAUGACAUCCUGAGGCUUGAGCUGGAAGCUGGAAGAUAGCUUCUUACCAGAAACCCUGUGUGUCAUGCUCGUGUUGCAUACUUAAAUCGUAGGAAACUUUUAUCACUGUUGGUUGAUGGACAAAAAACCUGUUAAUUUAAAAAUAUCCAGGGGAUGUGGUACAGGCAGUUUCGCAUAAGAAUGUUAAUAAGCAAUUUUUGGAAUGACACAAGUAGCAGCUCUUUCCUCAUCCUGCACCUUGACUCAUUACUUAAAAUUGCUUGUUAGAAACUUCUGUUUCUGCAAUCAAGCUCUUGUAGUGAUAAUCUCUUUACAGAAAUACUUAAACCCUGGACUCCUUGGUCACUCAGUUAACUAGGCCAGAGAGACACUGAACAAAUUUCCCCCAAGAAGAGGAGCUCCCUGCUGCUGGCAGUGGCUCAAGCAUUUACUACAAGGGGAAAAGGGUGCACAUCUGUGGUGUGCUGGGGGCAGCAAGGACUGUAGCCAAACCCAAAUCUACGUACUCAGCCCUCCAACGUUGCAGCUGUGCCUCACUGCGAUGACACAACACUCUCCAAGCACAGCAGUGGGAUGGUGAAACUUGCCACAGCAGCCCUUAAGCACUCUGAGCUCCAAGGCUCACUGUUUUGCCCAACAAUUGUUGAAAUAGCUCCAAAUUUAAUAUAUGAAGCGAUGUUGCAUCAGUUUAGAUGAAUUGCUUUUAGUGUAAAUGUUCAUUUUUGCAUUUAGCAUUUAUGCUGGUUUUGUUUUUGUUUUUUUAAGUGUGGGCCCAGGGUGAAAAAUUGCUUUCUUUGGUUACUGAAUGAAAAAUCCCUUAAAAUCAAGGGGCUUCCAAUACACAUUGGUCAGGGUUAACAUUGUGUAAUUCUAAACUAGGCUACUUAAUGACUAUUAUAUGCAAAGAAUUUGUGUUUCCGAACCAAUCCAAGCAAAAGGUUCUCCUUAGCAGCAUCAUAAAAUCACUAUGACAUCCCUCAGAGAAGAAAAGUGAUAAAUGUGCACAUAUAUUUUAUUAGUCAUAAAUCUUUACCUCUUAUUAUGAUUUUCUUACUUUUUUCAUACUGACUGGGAAGAAAGGCAAGGUCUCUCUUUGUCCAAUCACCCUGUACAGAAAUGACACCAUGCUGAGACCAUGGCAACAAAACUCUGAAUUUGUUUUUGGUUUUGACUAAACCAUGUCUAUUGCCUUCAACAGUGACCAGCCCGAGGAAGAACCCUCAGAUGUUUUAACUUCCAAUUCUGCUUUACUGUGCCAUUCUGACAACUCCAUUAAGUUUUUUUGUUAUUGUUUUGUUUAGGUUUGGGGAGUUUUGUUUGUUUGUUGGUUUGUUUUGUAUGUUUGGUUUGGGUUUUUUUUUUGUUUGUUUGUCAGGGGUUUUUGUAGAUAAGCCAUUUUUUGUUUGCUCAAAGGACAUUUUGCCUCUCAGUCCUCUCCCAGAUACCACCAGUGCUGAUCAUGUUUAAAGAAUUCAACAAAGAAAAAGUCCUUUCACCUGAGUAGUAAUCCAUGACAUUCACAAGAUCCUUACCUUUCCUUCACCUCCUUAAUCCUCACUAAAGAGCCAAAAGGAAGAUCAUGGAGGUAAAAUGGUUAUGAAUCUCCUCUGCUUGUCUCAGGCCCUGUGAGGCGUAGGAGCUGUGGUUUGAUGGUGGUGAGAUGACCAGCACCACAGAGGAUGGAUCAGUAAUGAGGAAACAUUAAAGCAUGGCUGGGCAUGGGCACUAAAAUUCCAGAAUUGACUUAGGAGGUCUCAGACCCCCUGGACAGAGCCACAAGAUGCAGAACGACUGGCCUGCAUUUUUCUGUGGGAAAGUCAUCAGUGAAACCUUGCUGUGAGGCCUCCUGUGGGUUGCUUUUUUUUUUUUUUUUUUCUUUUUUGCGCAUAUAUUGCACAAAUGUGUAUUUCACAGUUUUCUCUACAAAAGCAAGAAAACCUGUGCAAUGGAGAAAAAUGGAUAGACUGAAACCAAAAAGAAUUUUGUAAGCCUGCUGAAGAGAUGUUGAUCUAAUUCAAAAGUAGUCGAUAAGGACCUGUGGAGAAAGGAAGUGGAAAGACCACUGUUUUUUUUGUUUGGUUGGUUUUUUGUUUGCUUGUUUUUAAAAAAUUUCUAACAUAAAGGCAGGUUGAACAAAAGGACUUAGUAACAUUUCUAAGCAAUUGUUUCCAAGAUGAAUCUGGUGGAAUGUGCUUUUCUGUUGUACUUUUCCUCCUUUUGAACCUUUGAAAGUUUGUUUGGAGGUAAUCACUGCUGCACUCAGUUUCCUUGGGAGUGAAGAGGAAUAGGUAAACACAUUUCUCAGGCUAACACAAGGUUAGGAAAAGAAUGGGAAUAUGGUAGGAUAUUGGCUAUAGCUCCAUGGGUAAAUGUCCAUGGGGUGCAGAGACUGCUCUUGACUUCAAUCAUCUGCUCCAGAGCCAUUCAUACAACCGGAUUUGAAGCUGGAGGAACAUAAUGAGUUACACGUAACUUUACACCUCCACUUUAAAAGAAUUAAAAUUGCCCUUCAUUUUCAUAGUGGAACUCUUUUCAUGCCAUCUGAAGAAGGUUGAUCUGUUGGGGUAUCUCAGUGCCACUCUGGGCAGGCUGCACAGCACUUGUGGCUGCAAGAGGAGGAAAACAGAGAAAGGAAGCAUGAGUGUAGAAGAGGGAUUUAAAUGUUUUCAAGCUGGAUGGUUAAGGCAGAUGUGUUGCACCUGGAUAUGAGAAAGUCCUCGAGGAGAAUAGCUUGCAGGCAGCUUGCUGGGAGAUUUCUAGGAAUUGCACAGAAAUGUCAAAGACCAUGCAUAAGGAAAUGGUAUCAGGACUGUCUGUGGAGGAAAGAAGGGGUUUUCCAUUCGAGUCACUGAGGUAUUUCAGAAUCAAUGGGAGAUUAGUCACACAGUCUGUACAUUUUAGGACAAAAAAGAGCAAAUUGCCUGGGACAGAAAUUCUUCCUCUGCUCCUCACCUCUGCUAAAGCAUAAAAUGACCUUUAUUUUUCCCUUCAGUAGAGAGAAUUUCAGAGUUCCUAAUUGAAGCAAAGCUUACUGCAGUAUUUGGAUUAUGUCACUGUACAUAAUGAAAACUUUCUCUUUAAAAUAAUAACACCCAAGACUUUCAUUGAAAUAGACACCAUAUUGUUGGCAAAGGUUUAUUUUAUGCUCUCAAAUUUUAUUUUGAAUGCUUAGGUUUGUGGUUUUGUUUACUUUCAGUGAAAUGCAUUUUGGUGUUUUGCUGGCUUGCAGUAGCCAGUCAGACUGCUGCCCAGAGGCCAGAGGUCAGACAUUUUGUAGUCAGGCUACGAAAUGUUUGUGAAACAAAUUGUUUUCCUUUAAAGUCCAUACCUUUGUUUACACUCUCCUUAGAAAGUAAUUCUCUAUUAAAGGAUGAUGUGUCUUCGGCACUGUGGAUAUAAGAACGGUGUAAUUGUGUAAUGCUGCAGUUUGGGACCCUUGCCCUCUAAACCUGCCAUAGCACCGUGGGGGUCUAGGUUUCAUUCCACUGUGCCCAUGGUCACCAAGAGUUUGCAAAACCAAUACCUAAUGCAAUGACUAAAGUGAAAGACAGAAACGUGAAAGCAGUGUAAAUAAUUGCCAAUAAUUUAUUUUUUUACGUGGAGAACUCAAAAAAGAUAUAUCUUCCGCUGCUUGCAGGAAGAUGCUGGCUGCAAAAGCAAAGAGAAGUGCUGCUUUCCUUCACACAGAAAAUUCUUUCCCCUAGAUGGAAGGGAUAAACCACUAUGUAGUAAAUAAACUGUCUGCCUAAUUCUGAUCCCCACCUCUCCCAGAUGCACAAUGAAAAACUGAUGGGAAUUUUUUUUUCUGCUUAUCUAGUCCCUGGGCUUUGAUCUUCUAGUGUGAUGAGAGAAGAAUAGUCCAUGAGGAAGAGAAAAAGAUUAAUGAGGUGCCAUGGGGUCAAGUCAGUCUCCCCCUGCUAAUUACUGGUACUUGUGUGGAUUAGGAAAGAAAUUAGAAGGUGAGAAAGCCUUCCAGAAAUGGCUGCCCCAGCAGGACAGUGGGUGCACUUGUUGGGAGAGGCUGACUAUGACCUUUAGGCAUGAUGUGUGGACCAGCAGAGUGCUUUUGAAGACAAUGUCCUGUUCCUGCUUCCCAGGGUUUGUUCUGCAUAGUGGAGCAGUGUCAGGGUGUAUGAACUGGGCUCUCUUUUUGGUGCUACAAGGAUGGAAGUACAUCAGGAGAGCUGGAGCCACAAGUAGGCAUUUGACCCCUGGGACCAGGCCAGAGCUAGGCCUGUAAAGACAAGACACCCAGAAGGGUGCACAGGGCACCCAGUACGGAUAUGGCCAGUGUAAACUUCUCUCUUUAGCUAUUAUUCUUCCCUGCACUCAAAACCAUGGCUGUCAUAGGGACAUGGAGGCUGGAGGAUGACUCAGAGCUGAGCCUGCCAGGAGAGCACUCUUGGAGGCUGCUGUCCCUCUGGGACAGAUGUGGCUGCGGCUAGAGAGAGCCUGGCAUGUGGUUAUGGUUUGACAUCUUACCGAAACAUUUUGCUGGUGGUUGCUGAAUAAGCUCAUGGCUUUGGUGAGCAGAGGACAAUGGGUAGUUAAAGAUCUUUUCCUUGCGAUGACUAUUUUUUUCACAGUCUAGCCAUGGUCUAGGAACAUAGAAAUGAGAUGUAGAAGGUCUUUAAAUAGCCACUGAUUUGACAGACAGGCUUCAAUCUCUCCACGAACAUGUUUGUGCUUUCUUUGCCAGAAAGGUGGGUCCUCCCUCCAUCCCACAUUGGUGAAAACUGAAUUAAUGAACUUCUAACCUUCUGAACAAUCACCAGCUGAGAGGGAUGAGCUUAAUCAAUUUAACAUCUUUUCAAAGACUGAGUUCAGCAGAAGAUAACAAACUUGAGAGAGAGGAGCUGUAAGAGAUGCAGAAAUUCCCAAAUGUUCCGCAAAGAGUGGAACAAUUUCACUAAGUAUCCAUGUAAGUAUUUGUACAUUUCAAAAGCUUUUACAUUUCUGCUUCACAACAUAGAAGUCAGAUUUUCACAAAGGAACUAAUUACCCAUAUUAAGUUGCUUUAAAAAUUACACACAGUACCCAAAAGGGCCCCGUUUAUAUGUGAAGAAAGAUCCCUUUUUUUGUCUAAACAGAGAAAAAGUAUCUGCUGUAUUUCUACACAACUCAUGCUAGCAUGGAAGGCACUGAUGUUCAUGGUACCUAGAAAAUACUUUCAAGAGUUUGAAUUAUGUCCAAUACACUUAUGAGAGAAUUAUAACGUCUCAAAAAAGAGCCAUAAAACUUUCUGUGACAGCUUCACAGAUGGUUAGAGAACCACAAAAACACUCAACUUUUCUGCUUGGAUAUGCUUUCACUGAAAAUUCCCCCUGGAAGUUUUGUUGCUUAAUUUUGGCAAGGAGGAUAAAUUUUACAUCUUUCAGUUCGUCCUUGGAGAAAAGAAAUGAUGGAGAAGAAAUAUUUUCAUUAAAGUUAUUAUUAAUUAUUAGUUCUCACACUUCAUUGCACAUUUCUGAUCUCUUUCUUAACACUUUACUGACUAGUGGAAAAUUUGUUUUGUAGAAAAUAAUUACUAGGAUAAAUAAAACCAAAUCUGAAAUCAAACAUUUAAACUCAUGUUCAUGCCUAAUUUUGAUUUGAGAAGGAAGAGUAGUAUAAAUCAGUGAGUUUUAUGACAUAUUUCACACAGAGAUUAACAACAACAGAUGGGAAUCAGUUAAACAUAUCAACCUUUCAAUAUUUUGGGUUAUAUAUAAAGGAGGGGAUUCUGUGCUUAUGAGGAACCUGAUAUCCUGUGUAGCAGCCAAGCCAUGCAUAAUUGUGUAGCAUCACAGGCAUAAAUGUUCUCAGCACAUUUUCUUUAGCUUUAAAUUAAAAACUCAACCUACAAAUAAUUUCUACCAGGAUCGCAUCCUGUUUUUUGGUCAUAGCUGUGCAGACAUGGACAGAGAAUACACAGGGAAUUAAUAUUACAGUAAAUCCUUUGCCUGGCUUCUGUGGCUGCUUCCUCUCCACAGGAAUUUGUUCCCUGUUUUGUGUGCAGGGAUAUCCUUCCUUGAUUUAGGCAUAAAAUAAUUUGAACUACCAAAUAAACAACACUUCCAUUUGUUUCUGCUUUUUUCAUAAUAGUACGUUCUGUAAGUUGUAUCUGUUGUUGUGCCAUCCAGAAAAUCAUGUCAGUAAAUAGUAGUCAGCAGGGAAAAUACUGAUCUUAUGUUUGCUUGACACUGAAGAGAAAGCAUAGUGAAGUCCAAGAGCUGCUUGAAAACUUCCUGGCAAGAUAUUAUGAUUUGGACUUUUGAUACUGCCACGAACGUCGCAUCAUUUAGCAAAUGGUAGAACUGCACACUGACAAAAAUAUUUAUGAUUCUCUCAGGAAAGCUGCAAUCAAGAAUUUAUUGCUAUUGCUGAAAUACUGAGGCUUAGCAUUUGAGAAUCCUUCCUUAGUUAGAAAUGAGAAAGUUUAGUGACAUGUUUAUAGUUUUAAAAGUUUCCUAUUAACUUGAAAGGGGUGAGUAUAUACAAGAGUUCCUAAAUAAAUAACCCAAAAUUAACCGGCCAAGUACACACUAAGAAAUUCUUAUUCAGAAACAGAAAUUUUCUGCAAGUGAACAAUUACUCUAAAACAGUGCAAAUUAGUUAUUUCUUCCCAGAAAACCUGAAAUUCCAAAAGAAUGCACAGCUAAUUUUUUUUCUUUUUGAACCUAUUGUCUCUAUGGGAUAUUUUUUCUGCUUGGGAGCGUCUAUUCAGGCAGUAAUAAAAAAAAAAAACAAAUAAAAAAAAAAAAAAAAAAAAAAAACCCCCAAAAAACCCCCCAAAAAAACCCCAAAAAACAAAACCAAAACCAACCAAACAAACAAAAACCCAAAAAAACCAAAACAAAAAAAUAAAACAAACCAAAAACCCCCUUAUUUUCUGUCUUGAGAGAACAGAGAGACAGCACCACAAGAGGUGCUGCUAGUCAGAGACUAUACUCUUUAGAACUUAUAUUUCAACUUCUCUAGGCUGUUAGACCCUUCAAAUGGAAUUUUCUAUUUAGGGCAUAGUAUUUAUGGUUAUAAUACUUUAAAAUGAACAUGAGGCUUGUUUAACAAAAGAGGAAUACAGUCUUCCUGUGUUUAAAGAAGAUGUCUGCUCCUUGGCAGCAGCUGCAACAGUAGGUUUUCUCUCAAGAUCCCAACUGAUGUCCUUCAGAUUCAAAAUCAAAAAACUGGAAUCAGAUAAAUGGCAAAAGCCUGAGCUUUGCUUGAACAAUUUGACAUUCAUGCACAGGAAAAUUUCUUCUCAAGCAGGAUGUGAAGAAGGAGAUGAACUCCCCAGCGAAAAAUUAUGAUUCUCCUAAGAGUCCUUUAAGCUGUCAGAAAUUCUGGGAAAGUAUUGGCUUUUCCAAACAUCAGAGUGAUCAGGAACCUCUCCUUCUCCAAGAGCUUCCCUACACUUCUUCUGACCAGCUCCCCACAGACAGUCAGGGAGCUGGUGUGGUAAUGGAGUCCACCCAGUUGGCUCAGUGUCAGAGAAAUCAGAUAAAUCAAUGCUUCUUGCUUCAGAUUCCACAAGGGAUUCCCCAAGUUUCAAAUUAUAUACAUAUGUAUUCUUAAUGGGAAAAAUGUAGCUUUUUAGAAUAAAGAAAAGAUGAAAUUCCAACCUUUGCCCAACAAACUCAGAACCUGUUUGUGCAGCAAAUCCAAUGUAAGCAAUACUCUCCUAUUUUGUAACAUUAUUGUACUGAUCUCUUUGGAUGAAAUUAUAUUAAUUGAACUUUUACAAUGAGAAAUGUUCAGCUACACUGGUAAACAGAAGUACUCCAUAGUUUUGAGCAGAAACUGUUAUAUGACAUUAUCUUUGUAUUCCUAGCAUUAGCCUUGGGACAGGAUUUCCUUAGAGGGGCCCUAAAAGCCGUUUUAAAUUAUUUAAUAAUAUCAAUGUUGAGAAUUUAAACAAUUGCCAUCGUAUUUUUUAAGCAUUUGAGUUUUUUCUUUAUUCUAAGAAAUUCAUAUUCAUCUGGAUAUGAAAUUGCAUCUGAUUUUUCUCUACUUGAGUUUAAUUUUACUAGAAAUUCCUUGUAGUCCUUUGGCAAAAUUUCACAAUCACUUUUACCAGUUGAAUAUGUUAGUAGUCAUGAUAAUUUACUUUAUGAUUAGUCUACUUCAGUUCAUUCAUGAAUAUGUGAAUUUAAUUUGGGCUCUAAGCAACUGACUACUAUUUACUGUCCUCGUUGAAGACUCUGAUAUUGCUGGAUGGUAGUUAUCGCCAAAAUAAAAAUAAGAGAGUUGAACAUAAUCAAAUAUUUUUCAACACAUUAUUAAUUGUUUCCCUUUGUUCAUGUGCAUAACUCAGCAUAUGUUUUCCUGGCUUUGUUGGAAUCAGUAAGCCAUCUAGUUAAAAGUAAAGAAAUCCUUUGGCAGUCCUCAAAUAUAUGAAAGGGCAAACUGGGAAUGUGAAUUUUGUUUUGUGGUAACUAUUGAUAACUCUGUUGUUUACUUAAGGUUUCCAUCAUAAAUGAGGGGCAAUUAUUUGAAUCAAUAUAAUUUCCACUUAUUAUGAACAUCGAAAUUUUGGUUCAGCAGUUUGAAUCACAUUAAGUGAUGCUCAACAGCUUUGUGAAAUAUUAUGUUGCUCCUAGAUAUGCUGUCCCAGUAGAAAUUCUACUUUAAAGUGAUAGAAGAGAAGUGUGUGCCUGGGUGAGAAGAUUAGGAGCACUGCCUGGUUUGUUUCAGCACUUCCUGAUCCACAGGGGCUGAAGGGCAUUCCCGUGGAUUCAGAGUGAUGCCACCCUUUCCUUGUGGAUGGUACUUUGUUGUAGCUGCCCUGAUCCUGUGAUGUGCUCUUUGUUUAAAGGCUGUGAUAAUCUGAUAAUCUGUUUGUGCUGGUAGGUAAAAACCUUUGACAAAAUGUUUUAAAAAGGUGUCAGGAAAGCCUCUGCUUCCCUCUCAUGCAUUGUUGCUGCCUAGCACUGCAGCAAGCCAGGCAUCUGCACAUAUGUGUCUAUGUGUACGAAGUAAAUGAGGCAAAAAAGCCCUGAAGAGAGCCCUCAAACGCCCCCUUUUGAAAGGCACUGAAAUGCUCUGUUGUCUCAUCAUCCACCUUCUCCCUGCUGCAGCCUGCUGGAGGGCAUGCCCUCACCAUGAUAAUGAAACACAUUCACAAAAAAAUUUGACCUGCCCUGGUUUCCUGCCUGCUCCUCUGCCAGGAGCUUUCUGCUUGUGGGUGUGGAGGUCACCCACCCAUGGUCCUCAGGAUGGGGUAGAACAAAGAGGAUCCUUCUCCCACUCCAUGGGCUCUUUCUCAAAGACCAGGAUGCAAAACUAUUUACAUUCCUAAGCAGCAAGUCAUGUUUCUUGAAACUAGGACGUGGGCUUCUAGAUUGGGAGUAAUAUUAAGAAAAGGGCAAAUUUGUGCAGAUUCUGAGAAAGGAAGAAGCAGUUCACUGGGAACAGUGUGAGUGCAGACAUUGUUCAUUCCCAAGUGUCUUGCGCAGUGGCUGGAAGCAGACAUUGACAGGAGUGAGCACAACCUGGCUGUAAAAACCAUCUUCUUUGACUACAGGUGCUCUGCCAGGAAAUUACUGUAUUUUAGGGGUUAAAUCUGCCCAGAUAAUAUAAUCAAGCAGCUGUGUUUUCUUCUAGACAGUCUGGUCCCCUGUUCAGUCUUUAUUUUCAGUUGCCAGGUUCUUUGAAGAUGGUCUAUUUGGCUUGCAACCUAUGUGCCAAAUUUGGGGCAGAGGACACAUCUUAUCAAACAUGUAUUUACAGACCUACUACUUCUCCCCCAAAAGAUUAAACACUUUGAUAUUUAAAUAUAUAUGUGCUGAAGAGGUGCCAUUUCCCAUACAUGUAGUUUCAGUUUCUGUUGUGAACAGAACCAUCAUCCUGCCAAAAGUUUCAGCUUCAGUAUUAUCUAAUGAGUCAAUCUCUUCCAUUUCUCCUUCAAAUGUUCUUAUAAGAUGUUAAACCAGGUCAACAUUUUAACUGAUCACAUUUUCAGGAUUUCAGUAAUUUCAAAUGUAGCUGCAUCCUAGAGUAUUCUGCCUCCCUGUUGUGUAUCAGAAUACAAUUCUUCACUGAGCAGCCUAUGAAAGCUUAAUCUGAUCUCUCAGCGCUACCACAUCUCAAAAGGGUAGAUGCCCUAAUGGUUAUGUAAGUUUCUGUGAUUGAUGAAGCUUUACACAAGCUUUACAGGUUGGGGAUUUUUAGCAGCAGUAAUGAAACUACAAUUUUGUUUUGCUUUUACAUAUGCUGAUCUCACUGCCUAAUUAUUCUUGCUGCAAAAUACUCCAGAAGUUGUUCAAGCCAUUUUUUAAACACCGUUUGAGCUGCAAGUCCUUACCAAAGCUUUAAUUGCUCAAGCACAGAUUCUUCAACAACUUUAAAACAUAAAAAAUGAGCAAGGUUAGUCUUGUUUAAGUGCAGGCAUUGUUCUGCAUUUCUUACAUUUGGUUUCUCUUUUCCAUAUAGUGAGUUAAAAGAAAUGGCAAACUGGGCCCUGACCUGACAGGAAUAUUUCCUGUUUGCCCACAAGCAGUGGAUUUUACCCAACAAUAAGUAGCCUGCUGGGAAAAAGAAAUGUGAUUUACUUCCAGGAGCAUGCUAUGAUAGUGACAUAAUUACUGAAAUAUACAUAUUUUGCUGCCUGUGUUGCUUAUGUCCUUAUAAAAAGUUUCAUUCUAUUCUUUCCACAAAAAGAACUCUUCCAAUAUGAUGCAAAAUACUAUAGAAGUAUAAAUUAUUUAUAUAAUUUCUUAGUCUGGAGCUCACUUACUGCCCAAGAAGCUGUGUUGGAAACCUGAUGAAUACCAUGGAUUACCUCACGCAGCCCAGCUAAUGUGCAACAUGAGAGGCUCCAAAAAAUGCAAACCUGGUUGUAAGUCUUUGGGUUAAUUCAAGCUUUACUGAUUCAACAGCUGCUUGAUCUCCGUGUGCAAUGACUUCUGUUUCAGUAUCCUUACAAACAGCUUGCAUACUGUGUUUUAUGCCCCUUAGGAGAUGAAGAAAAAAAGCCAUCAGACAUAUCUUAAAAUCUAGGACUUAUAAAUGAAACCUGUAUUACAAGCUUCACAGAGGUCUGCCUUUUCCAGAUUUGAGCCUGGGAGCUGAUUUGUGUAGGUACUGGGUAAAUAACAUGUUCUCCAUGUGUUUUUUUCAGGAAGGAAUGAUAGGAUGCUACUAGAGGAAAAGCAGGAUUAUAAAUAAGUAAGGCAAGAAGGACAUUUUGAGCUAAAGGAUUGAACUAUAAUUACCUCAUGUGACACGAGUUGGACAUGAGCACCAUGAAGACCUCGUUUCAGCCCUCUGGGGACCCUGUGAAGACAAGGAGGGGCAGAGAAGGCAAAAUGAAACAGAGAGGAAUGGUUGAAAAAUUAUCAACUUUUAUGAGCAUUAAAAUGGGUCUGCAAGAAGUUUCAGACCCAUCAAAUCCUGGACAGGCCUGUUGCUGUUGUAAUUUAAUUGGAGCCUCAUUCCAGGUCUGUCUGUUUUUCUGCCUGUUCUUUGGGUCCCUGGAUCAGUAUUACCUCACACCAGAUGCGUUCUGCUGUGUCCAGCACAGACAGGUCAUUGACUGUGGCUGUGUGUGGGGCAUAUUGGUGAUAUCUCUGCUGCUCUGAUGUUGCUGCCAUCGCCUCAUCCAUGCUGCCUUUUCAUCCUGAGGAAGCUGGUUGCAUAUCACAGCCAUCUGAUGCAGCUUUUUUAAGACAUGCCUUUUGUGCCAAAAUGUUGGAUGGCUUCAUUUCAACUCAUUUGGUUCAUAGAACCAAAAUGUGUCACCGGGCCAUUCUUGCCAGUUCUGUUGUCGCUUGCAUUUUCAUAGAGACUGCUCCUGACAUUUGGAUAGUUCAGGAGACAGAAGUGGCAGCUGUGGCACUGUUCCUCUUACAUUCUCUUCAGUCAUUGUUUUGUAAAUUCUAGCCACUGACCUGUACUUUCUAUCAAGCAGCUGUCCUGGUUGCAGCCAGGGGAUCAUUAAUUUUUGCAAUAGCCAAGAGGAGCUUGGCUUGGUCCCAGAGGUUAGUCGAUACCACCCGAGUCAUUGUAUGGGAGAAAAGGAAAGUUGUCUUUUCCAAGGGUGAGGAGUGCCUUCCCAUCGUAUAAGCAGGGUGAGGGACUGGUGGGCUGGCCCUGGUUGUGAGCUGGAGGGAGUGGUUGGGGUAAUGCCUUUUCUGAGCUGGAGGGGGCAGCUGGGUAUUGUGUCUUGUCAGGGAUUUCUGAGUUGAGCAGUAAUGUUCCUUUUCUUGUAUCCUCUGUCUUUAAUAUUGUUGUUGUUACUGGUAGUUUUCAUCUUUCACUGCUGUUUCCAGCAAAUUUUUCUUAUGUCAACCCUUGAUCCUCACCUUUUGUGCCUCGGUUGUCUUCUCCACUCCACUGGUGGAGGAAGGGAGAAGGGAACCAGGGGGAGCAGGCAAGCAGCAGCAUGGUUUGGGAUUUCUGUGGCAGCACUAAGCUGAGGAGUACCAUUCCUAAACCAUGGCAGCAGCUCUCAUGACAAGAGUAUAAAAGAUUUGCCUUUUCCUAAUGAACUUAUCUCAUUAUCCCAUCAAUACCACAGACCAUUCAAAAGAAAUACAUUAAUAGAUAUUUACUUGUUUAUAAUUGUGAAUGGAAAAAUGAGCAUCUAUGAGGGCUGGAUGCAAACAAACCCUUGAGUCUUGGGACUGUCUCUCCAGAUCAUGGGGGAAAGGCAUUAAUUUGCCCUUUGAAUCAUAUGCUGAGAUGAAGUUUUUUAUUUUUUUUUUUGGCAGAGGGGGUGAAGAUGUCAAGAUCUCUUUGUGGGGUCUGAAGUGCAUUGCUAACACUUCUACUCACUGCAGAAAUUGUGCACAUGCCUUUGUACUAGCUUAUGUGAGGACUGUCAUAAGGGAAAUGGUUCCCUCAAUGCUCCAACACACUUACCACCUGAGUUUCAUCUAUUCAUAACAUAUUCUUUGGUUCCUAUAAAAAGAGAGAGAAGGAAAUGGUGAUGUAGUGGUGAAUUUUGCAUUAUGUUGGGGAUGAAUUGAUGCAUGAAAGCUUUCUUCUGAUUCAGACUUCAAAUGUGAAUGUUUGGCUUCUUUACUUGCUUGGAAUACUGUUCUGGAGAUGGAAAUCAAGAAGAGCUUUAUAAAAUUCCCUGCUGUAAUUUAUGAGUUUAACUGACAGUAAAAGAUACUGAGUUUACAACACCUAUAGAGUUUCUAUUUCUUCUGUUGAUUCAGAACAUUUUACUACUAUAUCCUUACUAGAGACCAGAAUGCAUGCUGUAAACAAAACCAGUAAAUAUGAAGAGUAAACACAUUUUUUUUUGUCAGAAAGGCAACUGGGGUGGGCUUUGAGAAGCUUACCUUGCUUUGAGGACCUCUUUUUGCUCCCAUGCCUUUCAGUAGAAAGCUCCCAUGCAUUUAAAUCAUGUAGGACCAACUACUGAGGUAGGAGAGCAGCAAAAGUCUUUUACAAAAUAAUGGAAAUAUGGUGAAGAGAAGUAUCAGGACACUCAGCCGGUCUCUUAGUGAAUGAAACAAAAACAAGAGAUGAAAUCUUGAUCUUUCAGGAAAAAGAGCCUGUUUGGAAAAGGCUGCAUUCGGACAAAGCUAUCACGCUUACCAGGGGAAAGCUGUGCACUUAGGGAAGAAAAACUGUCUGCUGAGAAUUAACAGGACACCAAUAUCCAGGAAGCUGAACUUUGGCAAUGAGUGUGCAAUUCUCUGAGCACUUCCUAAGAGAUAUGGCGCAGUGGACAGGGGUCUGAAUACACACAUCUUUUUGCAGGGGAUCUUCUGUGGCUUUGGAAAUAUCUCAGGUAGUGCCUUGGAAAAAAACAUAGGAAGCUUAAGGAAUACACUGAAAAUUGUUUCUUUCAUACCCUGUAAGAGAAAGGUUUGGGAUUUUUUUGCUCUGGUUGUUUUGAAGGUCUGUUGAGGCUUGUUUGUUUUCAAAGAAUUUCCUUUGUCUUGCAUCUUAAACAAUCUAAAACAAAUACUUCUUGUUGUUUUUGGGAACCUACUUUCCUCCAGUGCAAAGUGAUGCCUUUUCUGAGUCUACCUAAAAGAGAGGCCAGACAGAGUUAAGGGACUAAAAAGUGAGAAGGGUCUGCAGAUACAUUUUGGGCAGACAAAGCACCCCAAAAUGGAUGAUGGGUCAUGAGUUUUCACACUUCUGUAAGUUUGCUCCAUUUGCAUAUUGGGCAUUAAUCUUCAUUACAGCUUCAGGUAGUGAAGUCAUUUUACCCCAAGUUUUCUCCCCCCUCCAGAUCACUUCUAUUUACACUUCUCAGGAGUUGGGACAGUCAGGUGUCCUUGAUUCCCAGGCCUAGAGAGGAAUUGUUUUGCCUGACCAAAAUAUGAAGACAGUAGCUUGCACUGUGUAUAGAGUUUAGAGCUAUACACUAAAGAAUUACAG
Taeniopygia guttata (zebra finch) is the source of this 19530-nucleotide non-coding RNA. Lineage: Eukaryota; Metazoa; Chordata; Aves; Passeriformes; Estrildidae. The record is from RefSeq and is a predicted model, not a curated record.